CCUACGGGUGGCAGCAGUGAGGAAUAUUGGUCAAUGGCCGGAAGGCUGAACCAGCCAAGCCGCGUGAAGGACGAAGGUGCCAAGGAUUGUAAACUUCUUUUGUCAAGGGACAAAAUCAGGCUCGAGAGCCUGACCGAGGGUACUGGAAGAAAAAGCAUCGGCUAACUCCGUGCCAGCAGCCGCGGUAAUACGGAGGUGGCGAGCGUUAUCCGGAUUUAUUGGGUUUAAAGGGUGCGUAGGCGGGCUGUUAAGUCAGCGGUAAAAGCCCGGGGCUCAACCCCGGCGAGCCGGUGAAACUGGCUGUCUUGAGCUGGCGAGACGUAUGCGGAAUGCGCCGUGUCGCGGU
This 346-nucleotide ribosomal RNA is filed under the name uncultured bacterium. RNAcentral describes it as "partial 16S ribosomal RNA". It matches the Rfam family "Bacterial small subunit ribosomal RNA", at positions 338 to 682 of the family's 1533-position model. The record is from RNAcentral.